GGGUUGUGAGGUUAAGCGACUAAGCGUACACGGUGGAUGCCCUGGCAGUCAGAGGCGAUGAAGGGCGUGCUAAUCUGCGAUAAGCGCCGGUAAGGUGAUAUGAACCGUUAUAACCGGCGAUACCCGAAUGGGGAAACCCAGUGUGAUUCGUCACACUAUCAUUAACUGAAUCCAUAGGUUAAUGAGGCGAACCGGGGGAACUGAAACAUCUAAGUACCCCGAGGAAAAGAAAUCAACCGAGAUUCCCCCAGUAGCGGCGAGCGAACGGGGAGGAGCCCAGAGCCUGAAUCAGCAUGUGUGUUAGUGGAAGCGUCUGGAAAGGCGCGCGAUACAGGGUGACAGCCCCGUACACAAAAGCGCAUGUGCUGUGAGCUCGAUGAGUAGGGCGGGACACGUGGUAUCCUGUCUGAAUAUGGGGGGACCAUCCUCCAAGGCUAAAUACUCCUGACUGACCGAUAGUGAACCAGUACCGUGAGGGAAAGGCGAAAAGAACCCCGGCGAGGGGAGUGAAAAAGAACCUGAAACCGUGUACGUACAAGCAGUGGGAGCACCCUUCGGGGUGUGACUGCGUACCUUUUGUAUAAUGGGUCAGCGACUUAUAUUCUGUAGCAAGGUUAACCGUAUAGGGGAGCCGGAGGGAAACCGAGUCUUAACCGGGCGUUAAGUUGCAGGGUAUAGACCCGAAACCCGGUGAUCUAGCCAUGGGCAGGUUGAAGGUUGGGUAACACUAACUGGAGGACCGAACCGACUAAUGUUGAAAAAUUAGCGGAUGACCUGUGGCUGGGGGUGAAAGGCCAAUCAAACCGGGAGAUAGCUGGUUCUCCCCGAAAGCUAUUUAGGUAGCGCCUCGUGAAUUCAUCUCCGGGGGUAGAGCACUGUUUCGGCUAGGGGGCCAUCCCGGCUUACCAACCCGAUGCAAACUGCGAAUACCGGAGAAUGUUAUCACGGGAGACACACGGCGGGUGCUAACGUCCGUCGUGAAGAGGGAAACAACCCAGACCGCCAGCUAAGGUCCCAAAGUCAUGGUUAAGUGGGAAACGAUGUGGGAAGGCCCAGACAGCCAGGAUGUUGGCUUAGAAGCAGCCAUCAUUUAAAGAAAGCGUAAUAGCUCACUGGUCGAGUCGGCCUGCGCGGAAGAUGUAACGGGGCUAAACCAUGCACCGAAGCUGCGGCAGCGAACGUAUCACCCAAGACAACUUUACGGAGUUGACGAUUGACGGAGCGAAGCGACGUCAAAGCGUUCAUUAAAGUCGAGUUGGCUUAGGGAUACGUUCGUUGGGUAGGGGAGCGUUCUGUAAGCCUGUGAAGGUGUGUCGUGAGGCAUGCUGGAGGUAUCAGAAGUGCGAAUGCUGACAUAAGUAACGAUAAAGCGGGUGAAAAGCCCGCUCGCCGGAAGACCAAGGGUUCCUGUCCAACGUUAAUCGGGGCAGGGUGAGUCGACCCCUAAGGCGAGGCCGAAAGGCGUAGUCGAUGGGAAACGGGUUAAUAUUCCCGUACUUGGUGUUACUGCGAAGGGGGGACGGAGAAGGCUAUGUUGGCCGGGCGACGGUUGUCCCGGUUUAAGCGUGUAGGUGUGUGUUCCGGUAAAUCCGGUUCACUUUAACACUGAGGCGUGACGACGAGGCACUACGGUGCUGAAGCAACAAAUGCCCUGCUUCCAGGAAAAGCCUCUAAGCAUCAGGUAACACGAAAUCGUACCCCAAACCGACACAGGUGGUCAGGUAGAGAAUACCAAGGCGCUUGAGAGAACUCGGGUGAAGGAACUAGGCAAAAUGGUGCCGUAACUUCGGGAGAAGGCACGCUGACACGUAGGUGAAGUGAUUUACUCACGGAGCUGAAGUCAGUCGAAGAUACCAGCUGGCUGCAACUGUUUAUUAAAAACACAGCACUGUGCAAACACGAAAGUGGACGUAUACGGUGUGACGCCUGCCCGGUGCCGGAAGGUUAAUUGAUGGGGUCAGCGCAAGCGAAGCUCCUGAUCGAAGCCCCGGUAAACGGCGGCCGUAACUAUAACGGUCCUAAGGUAGCGAAAUUCCUUGUCGGGUAAGUUCCGACCUGCACGAAUGGCGUAAUGAUGGCCAGGCUGUCUCCACCCGAGACUCAGUGAAAUUGAACUCGCUGUGAAGAUGCAGUGUACCCGCGGCAAGACGGAAAGACCCCGUGAACCUUUACUAUAGCUUGACACUGAACAUUGAGCCUUGAUGUGUAGGAUAGGUGGGAGGCUUUGAAGUGUGGACGCCAGUCUGCAUGGAGCCGACCUUGAAAUACCACCCUUUAAUGUUUGAUGUUCUAACGUGGACCCGUAAUCCGGGUUGCGGACAGUGUCUGGUGGGUAGUUUGACUGGGGCGGUCUCCUCCUAAAGAGUAACGGAGGAGCACGAAGGUUGGCUAAUCCUGGUCGGACAUCAGGAGGUUAGUGCAAUGGCAUAAGCCAGCUUGACUGCGAGCGUGACGGCGCGAGCAGGUGCGAAAGCAGGUCAUAGUGAUCCGGUGGUUCUGAAUGGAAGGGCCAUCGCUCAACGGAUAAAAGGUACUCCGGGGAUAACAGGCUGAUACCGCCCAAGAGUUCAUAUCGACGGCGGUGUUUGGCACCUCGAUGUCGGCUCAUCACAUCCUGGGGCUGAAGUAGGUCCCAAGGGUAUGGCUGUUCGCCAUUUAAAGUGGUACGCGAGCUGGGUUUAGAACGUCGUGAGACAGUUCGGUCCCUAUCUGCCGUGGGCGCUGGAGAACUGAGGGGGGCUGCUCCUAGUACGAGAGGACCGGAGUGGACGCAUCACUGGUGUUCGGGUUGUCAUGCCAAUGGCACUGCCCGGUAGCUAAAUGCGGAAGAGAUAAGUGCUGAAAGCAUCUAAGCACGAAACUUGCCCCGAGAUGAGUUCUCCCUGAGACUUUAGGUCUCCUGAAGGAACGUUGAAGACGACGACGUUGAUAGGCCGGGUGUGUAAGCGCAGCGAUGCGUUGAGCUAACCGGUACUAAUGAACCGUGAGGCUUAACCUUACAACGCCGAAG
RNAcentral lists this ribosomal RNA (3010 nucleotides) under Salmonella enterica subsp. enterica serovar Typhimurium. Its description in RNAcentral is "23S ribosomal RNA". It matches the Rfam family "Bacterial large subunit ribosomal RNA". The record is from RNAcentral. Lineage: Bacteria; Pseudomonadati; Pseudomonadota; Gammaproteobacteria; Enterobacterales; Enterobacteriaceae.